UGAUCCAGCCAUGCCGCGUGAGGAAGAAGCCUUCGGGUUGAAAGCUCUUUUUGCCGGGAGAAACCCCUUCUCUGUAUAGGGUUGAUGGGAUGUCCCAAUACUCGAAGCUCACUUCAUGCCGUGCCCCGCGGCAAUACAAAAGAUGCGGUGCUUGUCCGGAUUUAUUGUGCUGAAAGGGUGCCUAGGCCGAGUAGUUUUGUAAGAGAGAAGUCCUGUCCCUUGGCUGCACAUGUGAACUGCAUACUGGACUGCUUGGCUACAGUUCAGGUAAGGGGGGUGGAAUUCGUGGCGUAGAAAUGCUUUGAUAUGACAUCAAGCAGAACUUGCAUGGGCAACGUGCUCCCCUGGAACUGACCCGAAGGUCCUGAACCAAGGGGAGCGGACCAGAUUAGAUUCCCUACCCUGCCACUCCCUAAACUAUGAUAACUCGAUGUUGGCGAUAUACUGUCAAUGCCCUGACUGAAGCAUUUAAUUAUCCACCUGGAGAGUACGACCAGUACGGUCACACUGAUAAGACUUGACGGAAUUGACGGCAACCCGAGGAGCAUGUGGAUGAUGUCGAUCAUACCCAUGCAACCUUACCUGGGCUACCUACCCUUGACAUGUCUGGAACCUUGCUGAUUCGCGAGGGAGCCUUCAGUAGCCGCAGCAUGGGUGCUGCCUGCUCGUCGCCAGCUCGGGUCGGGAGAUGCUCGGAUCGAGCGCGACCCCUAUUCUUACUUGGCCUCUAGUUGUGCUCAUGACUCUGGGAACACUGCCGACGCUGCCGGUGACGAAGGGGAGGAUGACGUCGAUGACUCACAGGUCCUCAUGGCCCUUGAUGACACACGUGUUACACUGGCUAGAACGGUGGGUACACACGUGGUGACCAGGCAGCUAGUCUAUCAAACCGGUCUCAGUCGAUCUUGAGGUCGGCCACUCGACUUCAUGAAGACUACGUGAAGUAGGAAUCGCUAGCAUCGUGAUCAGCAUGAUACGUUCCAAUAGCCUUGUAGACAC
RNAcentral lists this ribosomal RNA (999 nucleotides) under uncultured bacterium. RNAcentral's name for it is "bacterial SSU rRNA". It matches the Rfam family "Bacterial small subunit ribosomal RNA", at positions 384 to 1390 of the family's 1533-position model. The record is from RNAcentral.